RNAcentral lists this ribosomal RNA (245 nucleotides) under uncultured bacterium. RNAcentral's name for it is "partial small subunit ribosomal RNA". It matches the Rfam family "Bacterial small subunit ribosomal RNA", at positions 26 to 285 of the family's 1533-position model. The record is from RNAcentral.
AGAAUCAACGCUGGCGGCGUGCCUAACACAUGCAAGUCGCACGAGAAAGGGGAGCAAUCCCUGAGUAAAGUGGCGCACGGGUGAGUAACACGUGAAUAAUCUACCUCCGAGUGGGGAAUAACUGAGAGAAAUCUUAGCUAAUACCGCAUAACACUUACGAGUCAAAGCAGCAAUGCGCUUGGAGUAGGAGUUCGCGGCCGAUUAGUUAGUUGGCGGGUAAUGGCCCACCAAGACGAUGAUCGGUA